AUUGAACGCUGGCGGCAUGCCUUACACAUGCAAGUCGAACGGCAGCACGGGGCAACCUGGUGACGAGUGGCGAACGGGUGAGUAAUGCAUCGGAACGUGCCAUUGAGUGGGGGAUAACGUAGCGAAAGUUGCGCUAAUACCGCAUAUUCUGUGAGCAGGAAAGCAGGGGACCGCAAGGCCUUGCGCUCUUUGAGCGGCCGAUGUCAGAUUAGCUAGUUGGUGAGGUAACGGCUUACCAAGGCGACGAUCUGUAGCGGGUCUGAGAGGAUGAUCCGCCACACUGGAACUGAGACACGGUCCAGACUCCUACGGGAGGCAGCAGUGGGAAUUUUGGACAAUGGGCGCAAGCCUGAUCCAGCCAUGCCGCGUGAGUGAAGAAGGCCUCGGGUUGU
RNAcentral lists this ribosomal RNA (392 nucleotides) under uncultured bacterium. RNAcentral describes it as "bacterial SSU rRNA". It matches the Rfam family "Bacterial small subunit ribosomal RNA", at positions 30 to 426 of the family's 1533-position model. The record is from RNAcentral.